This 219-nucleotide ribosomal RNA is filed under the name Citrobacter freundii. RNAcentral's name for it is "partial 23S ribosomal RNA". It matches the Rfam family "Bacterial large subunit ribosomal RNA", at positions 1 to 211 of the family's 2925-position model. The record is from RNAcentral. Lineage: Bacteria; Pseudomonadati; Pseudomonadota; Gammaproteobacteria; Enterobacterales; Enterobacteriaceae.
GGGUUGUGAGGUUAAGCGACUAAGCGUACACGGUGGAUGCCCUGGCAGUCAGAGGCGAUGAAGGACGUGCUAAUCUGCGAUAAGCGUCGGUAAGGUGAUAUGAACCGUUAUAACCGGCGAUUUCCGAAUGGGGAAACCCAGUGUGAUUCGUCACACUAUCAUUACGUGAAUACAUAGCGUAAUGAAGCGAACCGGGGGAACUGAAACAUCUAAGUACCC